Molecule: ribosomal RNA, 227 nt
Filed under: Trybliographa sp. 2 MB185
Lineage: Eukaryota; Metazoa; Arthropoda; Insecta; Hymenoptera; Figitidae
Description: partial 18S ribosomal RNA
Source: RNAcentral
AUCGCUCGCGUUGUUUAACUGACAUGAUUGUGGGACGUCCUACCGGUGGACUUAGCCUCUAUCUCUUCGGAUCUAGGGGCGGUCCAGCUAAUAUCCCAUCGCGGAUGCUUUUCAUCGAGUGUCGAGGUGGGCCGGUACGUUUACAUUUGAACAAAUUAGAGUGCUCAAAGCAGGCCAUCCUCGCCUGAAUACUGUGUGCAUGGAAUAAUGGAAUANGACCUCGGUUC